Long non-coding RNA from Oncorhynchus tshawytscha (Chinook salmon), 3915 nucleotides. Lineage: Eukaryota; Metazoa; Chordata; Actinopteri; Salmoniformes; Salmonidae. The record is from Ensembl.
CAGACGAUGAACACCUUUUCCACUGGUUGAUAGCAGUGGCUCACACAGCUCUGAAGAACCCUAAGAAGCAGCCUGGAGGGGAACGCUCAGUAGAACCACCAUGGAGACCGUUAAGAUAGCCUUACUCAUCUUCCUUCUAACCUCGCUCCAGCUCCUCACAACAGAUGCUUCUUGUGUUACCACACAAAAAUCAGCAGAACAUUCAACAACAGGCAAACCAUCAGAAACUACGACACCCGUCACGACUGUUCCUCUUUCCACUGUAAAGAACCUUGGUGUAAAUGUUACUGCAACCAGCGUUACUGCAACCAGUGUGACCCCAACCAGUGUGACCCCAACCAGUGUGACCCCAACCAACCGAUUUUGCAUUCCAGAGAAUUCUACCUGGAAUUCUACCACAGCGCUUGCUACAUCAACAGUAACAGAAAAUACAAAAAUGUCAUCCUCACCCCAAGUCCCAGUGAAUUCCGCAUCUCCAUAUACUAAGGAUAAUGGUGAGACUUCAUAGACAUUUCCUUUAAAUUGGCUAUUGAAAUGUAAUCUGUCUUCUCUGUAAACUUUAUUUUUAUGACAGAGGUCCUACAUCAUACAAUAGGUCUGAUGUGCUCACAUGUGAUUGUGCAAUAAGCUCUUCAGAUGUAAAAAAACAGAUAAUAGCCAGGGUUCGAACAUAUAUACACAUCAUCUCGGAGUGCUGAUUUAGGAUCAGUCUUGUCUUUCAGGUCCCAAUGAAUAAGAUUACAUGGACAGGGAGGACCUGAUCCUACUGUAGAUCAGCUCUCCUACUCUGACAAGCUUAAUACUGGCCCAGAUCUUUUAAAAUGUUAGACAUUUUCUGAACGAGUGCAUUCUACCUCGUUCGCACAGGAACACAAGGGACCCAGGCCCCAACAACUGUUACCAAGAGUGACUCACUAAACAAAACCACCAUUUCUGACCUUACCAAAAAGCUCCCAGGUAGGAGAAGAUUUGUUUACCCUCUCUCAAAUCACAAUAGAGAGGCUAGAGGAUAGCAAGUACUGCAUUGGGUUAAUGAUACCAUGACCCCAUAACAAUGUUUUGCCAUGAAUGUUGUCUUCAGGUUCAGAGGCUGAAAAUACAGGUAAGUCUAAAGCACCAUCACUGUCCCUCAGUGCACUAUUUUGUCUACUACCUGUGUAGGAAGACACGAUGGUAUAAUGAUAAAAAUGACAAUUUUUUCCCCCAGAUCAAGAUAGAGUCAAGGACAAUAAGAAUACGGAUCAUGUCGGUACGUCCUCUACUACCAUCAUCUGUAUAGGAAUAAACUCACAUUGUCAUGAAUGGUGCUCCAUUUUCCUUGCACUGAAAAACACACAGUCCGCAAAAUAACCAUAACAUUUUAAAUGGACACAUUAUCCAGAUGACAAGUUACCUACACCAUAUAUACAAAAGUAUGUGGACACCCUUUCAAAUUAAUGGAUUCGGCUAUUUCAGCCACACCUAUUGCUGACAGGAGUAUAAGAUCGAGCACACCGCCAUGCAUUCUCCAUAGACAAACAUUGGCAGUGGAACAGCCUUAAUGAAGAGCUCAGUGACUUUCAAUAUGGCACCGUCAUAGGACACCACCUUUCCAACAAGUCACAUUUCUGCCCUGCUUAGAUCUGCCCCGAUCAACUGUAAGGGCUGUUGUAGUGAAGCAGCAAAGGGGGGGAUCAACUCCAUAUCAAUGCCCAUGAUUUUGGAAUGAGAUGUUCGACGAGCAGGUGUCCACAUACUUGAGGGUAUGUAGGGUAUUAUGCAACUAGCAUCUCCUUCUCGUGGUCAUCGAAAGUUCAGUUACCGCAUGAAUCACACUGCAGAGUAUAUGGAGCUUUACGUUAUGUUAUUGUUUUCUACCAGGUCAACAGGCUGGAGGUGAGAGACGGAAACUCCUAAAUCAAUUAAUGUAGAACCUUUAUGGACCCAUUUACCUCAGCAUCUAAUGUUCUACCACACCCACCAGAGGGUGCACACACUUCAAAUUUGACUGGGUUGUGUGUGUGUGUGUGUGUGCGUGCAUGUGCGUGUGCCAUGUUUGAUUACAAAUCAUCAUAAAUUGCCUACAUUACACAUUGUCCAAACAAUGGUACUAAUCCAACUUCUCAUGGGAUGUGAAAAACAACAGUUUUGUCUGCCACACUAAAAGAUAUACCUCCUCUUUGUCUUCAGAUAAGAACCUGCUGUGGAUUCUUUUGCCAGUCCUGGCACUUGUGGGGGCUGCUGUCGUGGCCCUUCUGAAAAGUAAAUGCAUGAAGGACCACGAUCACACAGAGAUAACUGAUAAUGGAACAGAAAAUGCCUCUUUCCAGAGCAGGCCGGACAACGCCAAAGACGGUGUCAUGCUUCUCGGGGUGAAGUCUUCAGGCGGUGAAGACAAUGCUGCUGCAAGAUAAAAGGGAGGCCAUCCCAUUUGAAAGGACCAAUGGAUGAGGACGAGCUCUUACAACCAAAAAAUGGUCCAGAUCCCUUCACCUUCAACGAUCUAAACCUUAUGGACUAUCAAAUACAGCAUCACAGAAUCACAAAAGUUACUAAAGUGGGAACAUUUGUAUAUGGUUUGUGAGUAUUGUAGGAUAUGGGGCUCUUAACUGAACACGUGUCUGUUAGAAGGUAUAGCAUGUUUUAUUAUGUAAUUCAUUGUUUUGUGUAUUCCUAUUUUGAUGGUAAUUUAGUCAAGAAGGAAUUGUGUUUUUAAUUUAAUCAAGACCAACAUACAGACAUUUUAGUCAGGAAAACGAUGCUGGAUUCUGAAUUAACAUGAAUAAAUUAACCCAAAUUCUCAUUGUCUGAGUGUAAGAUGAUUGUCUCACCCCUGUAUUCAAGAUACUGGUUUUGAUUUGAUUAAAUCACCCAAACAUGCACAAAAUCCAAAUGUACUGAACCUGAAUUCAACACACAAUUCCUCGAUUGAAACCAGUUAGUGACCAGUACACAUGGUUAACAAGUGUUUGUAUGCUUUAAAUCUGUUUAAAAUAAUUAUUUAGUUUUCAGUGUAAAUGCCAGGAUUGUAAAGAUGAGCUUUUUUACCAGUAUGUUUCCUGCUUUUGAACAAGUUAUUUUGUAUAUUAGCUGUUGCUUGUCAGAAAACUUUUGUCAAAUGUUUCCCAAGGAGGGUUGGGUUUGUUUGAAUCACAGAUGUAUGUUUCCCAAGGUGGGUUGGGUUUGUUUGAAUCACAGAUGUAUGUUUCCCAAGGAGGGUUGGGUUUGAUUAAAUCACAGAUGUAUGUUUCCCAGGGAGGGUUGGGUUUGUUUAAAUCACAGAUGUAUGUUUCCCAAGGAGGGUUGGGUUUGUUUAAAUCACAGAUGUAUGUUUCCCAAGGAGGGUUGGGUUUGAUUAAAUCACAGAUGUAUGUUUCCCAGGGAGGGUUGGGUUUGUUUAAAUCACAGAUGUAUGUUUCCCAAGGAGGGUUGGGUUUGAUUAAAUCACAGAUGUAUGUUUCCCAGGGAGGGUUGGGUUUGUUUAAAUCACAGAUGUAUGUUUCCCAAGGAGGGUUGGGUUUGUUUAAAUCACAGAUGUAUGUUUCCCAAGGAGGGUUGGGUUUGUUUAAAUCACAGAUGUAUGUUUCCCAGGGAGGGUUGGGUUUGUUUAAAUCACAGAUGUAUGUUUCCCAGGGAGGGUUGGGUUUGUUUAAAUCACAGAUGUAUGUUUCCCAGGGAGGGUUGGGUUUGUUUAAAUCACAGAUGUAUGUUUUACAACAUUUGGGGUUAAAGCAAAUAAAACUAAAUGUGUUUAUUUUUUGUAAUGGAGCAAAUCCAUAAGAUUUCCCUCUGGUCAAAGAUUAUUUGAAUUUCUCAAAUACAGAACAGCGCUGUUUUACUGAUCGGCAUUGGUUGAAUAUUUGUUGUUUUGCACCCGUACAUGCUAACAAAACAUUGGCGCCAUUAUACAAUGAAUAAAGUUCAUGUUGAUUUUAG